UAGAGCUUGAUCAUGGCUCAGAUUGAACGCUGGCGGCAGGCCUAACACAUGCAAGUCGAGCGGUAGAGAGAAGCUUGCUUCUCUUGAGAGCGGCGGACGGGUGAGUAAUGCCUAGGAAUCUGCCUGGUAGUGGGGGAUAACGUUCGGAAACGGACGCUAAUACCGCAUACGUCCUACGGGAGAAAGCAGGGGACCUUCGGGCCUUGCGCUAUCAGAUGAGCCUAGGUCGGAUUAGCUAGUUGGUGAGGUAAUGGCUCACCAAGGCGACGAUCCGUAACUGGUCUGAGAGGAUGAUCAGUCACACUGGAACUGAGACACGGUCCAGACUCCUACGGGAGGCAGCAGUGGGGAAUAUUGGACAAUGGGCGAAAGCCUGAUCCAGCCAUGCCGCGUGUGUGAAGAAGGUCUUCGGAUUGUAAAGCACUUUAAGUUGGGAGGAAGGGCCAUUACCUAAUACGUGAUGGUUUGACGUACCGACAG
This 480-nucleotide ribosomal RNA is filed under the name Pseudomonas sp. 01WB02.3-55. RNAcentral's name for it is "bacterial SSU rRNA". It matches the Rfam family "Bacterial small subunit ribosomal RNA", at positions 1 to 484 of the family's 1533-position model. The record is from RNAcentral. Lineage: Bacteria; Pseudomonadati; Pseudomonadota; Gammaproteobacteria; Pseudomonadales; Pseudomonadaceae.